RNAcentral lists this transfer RNA (75 nucleotides) under Vicugna pacos (alpaca). RNAcentral's name for it is "tRNA-Pro (AGG) (tRNA-Pro-AGG-14-1)". It matches the Rfam family "tRNA". Rfam says of the family: Transfer RNA (tRNA) molecules are approximately 80 nucleotides in length. Their secondary structure includes four short double-helical elements and three loops (D, anti-codon, and T loops). Lineage: Eukaryota; Metazoa; Chordata; Mammalia; Artiodactyla; Camelidae. The record is from RNAcentral.
GGAAAAGAUAUAGCUCAGUGGUAGAGUGUGUGCUUAGGAAGCACAAGGUCCUGGGUUCAAUCCCCAGUACCUCCA